Molecule: ribosomal RNA, 506 nt
Filed under: uncultured bacterium
Lineage: Bacteria
Description: partial 16S ribosomal RNA
Rfam family: Bacterial small subunit ribosomal RNA
Source: RNAcentral
AGUGAACGCUGGCGGUAGGCCUAACACAUGCAAGUCGAACGGCAGCACAGGAGAGCUUGCUCUCUGGGUGGCGAGUGGCGGACGGGUGAGGAAUACAUCGGAAUCUACUCUGUCGUGGGGGAUAACGUAGGGAAACUUACGCUAAUACCGCAUACGACCUACGGGUGAAAGCAGGGGAUCUUCGGACCUUGCGCGAUUGAAUGAGCCGAUGUCGGAUUAGCUAGUUGGCGGGGUAAAGGCCCACCAAGGCGACGAUCCGUAGCUGGUCUGAGAGGAUGAUCAGCCACACUGGAACUGAGACACGGUCCAGACUCCUACGGGAGGCAGCAGUGGGGAAUAUUGGACAAUGGGCGCAAGCCUGAUCCAGCCAUACCGCGUGGGUGAAGAAGGCCUUCGGGUUGUAAAGCCCUUUUGUUGGGAAAGAAAUCCAGCUGGCUAAUACCCGGUUGGGAUGACGGUACCCAAAGAAUAAGCACCGGCUAACUUCGUGCCAGCCGCCGCAGUAA